Molecule: long non-coding RNA, 127 nt
Organism: Amblyraja radiata (thorny skate)
Lineage: Eukaryota; Metazoa; Chordata; Chondrichthyes; Rajiformes; Rajidae
Exons: 3
Source: RefSeq, a predicted model, not a curated record
AUUACAUGUUAAGUUUUGCAAUUUGAGAGGGUGAAUGUAAAAUUGGAAGUGUGGGUAUUGCAGUUGAACAAAGGGGAUUAUGUUGGCAUGAGGGAGGAGCUGGCCAAAGUUGACUGGAAAGGGACAC